Molecule: microRNA precursor, 84 nt
Filed under: Bombyx mori (domestic silkworm)
Lineage: Eukaryota; Metazoa; Arthropoda; Insecta; Lepidoptera; Bombycidae
Description: mir-2807 microRNA precursor family
Rfam family: mir-2807 microRNA precursor family
Source: Rfam by way of RNAcentral
UUAACUAAAAUUUGUAUGGAGUUGAAAUGUUUGCCUGCGUUUGCCGCUAGGGGCGCUGUUCCAACUGCAUAGAAAUAUGAGUUA